RNAcentral lists this ribosomal RNA (1297 nucleotides) under Streptomyces indoligenes. RNAcentral describes it as "bacterial SSU rRNA". It matches the Rfam family "Bacterial small subunit ribosomal RNA", at positions 93 to 1391 of the family's 1533-position model. The record is from RNAcentral. Lineage: Bacteria; Bacillati; Actinomycetota; Actinomycetes; Kitasatosporales; Streptomycetaceae.
AGUAGGCGAACGGGUGAGUAACACGUGGGCAAUCUGCCCUUCACUCUGGGACAAGCCCUGGAAACGGGGUCUAAUACCGGAUACGACCACUUCAGGCAUCUGAUGGUGGUGGAAAGCUCCGGCGGUGAAGGAUGAGCCCGCGGCCUAUCAGCUUGUUGGUGGGGUAAUGGCCCACCAAGGCGACGACGGGUAGCCGGCCUGAGAGGGCGACCGGCCACACUGGGACUGAGACACGGCCCAGACUCCUACGGGAGGCAGCAGUGGGGAAUAUUGCACAAUGGGCGAAAGCCUGAUGCAGCGACGCCGCGUGAGGGAUGACGGCCUUCGGGUUGUAAACCUCUUUCAGCAGGGAAGAAGCGAAAGUGACGGUACCUGCAGAAGAAGCGCCGGCUAACUACGUGCCAGCAGCCGCGGUAAUACGUAGGGCGCAAGCGUUGUCCGGAAUUAUUGGGCGUAAAGAGCUCGUAGGCGGCUUGUCACGUCGGAUGUGAAAGCCCGGGGCUUAACCCCGGGUCUGCAUUCGAUACGGGCAGGCUAGAGUGUGGUAGGGGAGAUCGGAAUUCCUGGUGUAGCGGUGAAAUGCGCAGAUAUCAGGAGGAACACCGGUGGCGAAGGCGGAUCUCUGGGCCAUUACUGACGCUGAGGAGCGAAAGCGUGGGGAGCGAACAGGAUUAGAUACCCUGGUAGUCCACGCCGUAAACGUUGGGAACUAGGUGUUGGCGACAUUCCACGUCGUCGGUGCCGCAGCUAACGCAUUAAGUUCCCCGCCUGGGGGAGUACGGCCGCAAGGGCUAAAACUCAAGGAAUUGACGGGGGCCCGCACAAGCAGCGGAGCAUGUGGCUUAAUUUCGACGCAACGCGGAGAACCUUUACCAAGGCUUGACAUAUACCGGAAACGGCAGAGAUGGUCGCCCCCCCUUGUGGUCGGUAUACAGGUGGUGCAUGGCUGUCGUCAGCUCGUGUCGUGAGAUGUUGGGUUAAGUCCCGCAACGAGCGCAACCCUUGUUCUGUGUUGCCAGCAUGCCCUUCGGGGUGAUGGGGACUCACAGGAGACUGCCGGGGUCAACUCGGAGGAAGGUGGGGACGACGUCAAGUCAUCAUGCCCCUUAUGUCUUGGGCUGCACACGUGCUACAAUGGCCGGUACAAAGAGCUGCGAAGCCGUGAGGCGGAGCGAAUCUCAAAAAGCCGGUCUCAGUUCGGAUUGGGGUCUGCAACUCGACCCCAUGAAGUCGGAGUUGCUAGUAAUCGCAGAUCAGCAUUGCUGCGGUGAAUACGUUCCCGGGGCCCUUUGGUACC